Molecule: ribosomal RNA, 459 nt
Filed under: uncultured bacterium
Lineage: Bacteria
Description: partial 16S ribosomal RNA
Rfam family: Bacterial small subunit ribosomal RNA
Source: RNAcentral
CCUACGGGAGGCAGCAGUGAGGAAUAUUGGUCAAUGGUCGGGAGACUGAACCAGCCAAGCCGCGUGAGGGAGGAAGGUACAGAGUAUCGUAAACCUCUUUUGUCAGGGAACAAAGGCGGGGACGUGUCCCCGGAUGAGUGUACCUGAAGAAAAAGCAUCGGCUAACUCCGUGCCAGCAGCCGCGGUAAUACGGAGGAUGUGAGCGUUAUCCGGAUUUAUUGGGUUUAAAGGGUGCGCAGGCGGUCUGUUAAGUCAGCGGGCAAAGCCCGGGGCUCACCCCCGGCCCGCCGUUGAAACUGGCAGUCUCGAGUGGGAGAGAAGUAUGCGGAAUGCGCGGUGUAGCGGUGAAAUGCAUAGAUAUCGCGCAGAACUCCGAUUGCGAAGGCAGCAUGCCGGCUCCACACUGACGCUGAGGCACGAAAGCGUGGGUAUCGAACAGGAUUAGAUACCCUUGUAGUC